AUUUGGAUGUAUCCUCGGAUGGUAAAUUUUUUACCAAUAAAGUGCUGAAAACGGAAAGGAUGGUCUUAUUAGCUGAUAGGAACACAAAUUUAGUAAACCAACAUCACAUUACUUGAUCCCAAGAACAUAUAGGAAGUAAGUUGUUUGGAGGUACCAAUUGGAUGAGUUCAUCGUCAUUGAUAGAGCAGUUCACCUUCUCAUAGAGCCUGAACAACGCUUCCAUCUCAUUCCUUGAGACUUGAUGUAAUUUUAGAAAAAGAAACCUGAAUCAAACAACCCAAAGAGUGGUAAGAAUAAACUGGGAGGAGGAGCACACAUGAAGAGGUGCAAGUUGAGAGAGGAUAUCAUGAUGGGAGGCGCAGGCCUUCGAUUACCUUCACAGGAGCAGGGUAGAAGACUCGUGUCAUCAGUGGCUGAUCUCAACCUGGACAAAUUAUCAACCAUCCACCAUUUAAGAUUCAACCUUGUGUCAAAAAAUGCUUGGAUAAUAGUCUGGUGGUUAGGAAAUUUUUAACCGAAAUUGCUUUGAUAUUAGUCCAACUACAAGGAUGGCAAAAUACAUUUGGUUUAAUCAAAUUCUUUCUAAUAUAAAACAUGUUAACUUCAAUUAUUUUGGCAGCUCCAUCUAGCUAUAGGAAACGUUGCAAGAACCUUAUGGCAAACAGUACAUGCAUCUCAUGAUCACUCAUAAGAGUGAACAGUUCAAUGGCACUUAUAAUCCCCAACACUCAUAAUAUCAGAAGAUAACCGAUACAAAAUGAGAUGUAGGAAUGGCAUCAUUAUGAAUCUAAUUUCAGAUGAGAAACAAUGAAAAUGGACUCCCAGGAAAAUAUUUCUGAUAAGUAAUAAGGAGCAUGUACAUUUGCCUUUUGCCUUAGUGUCUCUCCCUAUCCUGACAGAACUCUCAGGAUCUGCUACACACUGAUAAACCCAUGUUUAAUCACGUAAGCCAUAAGGUAUAGAAACAUAGACAGAUGGAUAUUGGACUUAUUCAGCAUGCCGACCAAACCUUAAUAAACACUACAUUAAAAUAUGUCAUGUUGUAGCAGAGGCAUUAUAGCAGACAUGCAAGCACGACACCAACUGCGACCAAUGCAUCAUUUAAACAGUAACCUGCCAGACCACCACAACAAGAGAGAAGAUCAAAAACUACCUGAAUCCAUGGUCGACAACAACACUGCUCCUCCACUUCAGUGUGCUCCAACCACUAGCCACACACACUGCUAACCAAACCCCGCAACCUGGUCAACCUGUCGGGAUUGGCCAUGCCCGAGGAGGUCAUGGACGCUGCAAUAGGCUCCGCUCUAACGCCCCACCUUCUCCAACUCCACCCUCAUAACAAUUAAAUGCUAGAAGAAAUCGGUCAGUUCAAACUUGAGUCCCUCCAAAAAUGGUUGCAUGCUAGAAGAUACAGUUAUAGGAUAUCAGACCUUGAAAUGCAUGCCAACCACAAGCUUCACAGCAAGAGACCUAUAAAGGAGCCCAGGAGCCUGGCAAAUAAAAGAGGCUUUCAUCAUUAUAGAACACAUUGAGCAAGACAUGAAAGCUACACAUCUUUGCUGUAGUUAUUUUAUCAAACCAAGUAACAAAGUAGGAUUCUCUUGCUAAAUGCAUGAAAACUAAGAGGCUAUUGAAAGUCAUCCAUGUUUAGAUUAGAGAAUAGCUGCAUUGAGAUAUAUUUUGGUGGGGUCAAAUAAGAAAAGUAUCAAUGCAAGCCACAAAAAAGGGUAUUAGCACGUGCUUCUCACCAAUAUCAGCAUAGAUGUGGUUGCCCAUGCCAAGAAACAACAUGGAUGUGGUUGUCUCAAUUGAACUUAGGCACGAGCUUCUUACCAAUCUCAUCAUAGAUGUUAGACCUGCCAAGAAACAACAAACAUCAAUUACCAAGCAGAAAAGGCAGGAGAAAAUUACAAACAACAUAGGGCAUGGGGUCUAGAGAAGCCAUGUACCUGCACAUCCAAAAGGACCAUGUCAGUGUGUUUGAUAGGACCGUUAUCAGUGGAUCCACAAUGCUGCUACAGACGCG
This 2026-nucleotide long non-coding RNA is filed under the name Triticum aestivum (bread wheat). RNAcentral describes it as "long non-coding RNA (TAES_LNC021422)". Lineage: Eukaryota; Viridiplantae; Streptophyta; Magnoliopsida; Poales; Poaceae. The record is from RNAcentral.